RNAcentral lists this ribosomal RNA (253 nucleotides) under uncultured bacterium. RNAcentral describes it as "partial 16S ribosomal RNA". It matches the Rfam family "Bacterial small subunit ribosomal RNA", at positions 524 to 776 of the family's 1533-position model. The record is from RNAcentral.
UACGUAGGGUGCGAGCGUUGUCCGGAAUUAUUGGGCGUAAAGAGCUUGUAGGCGGUUUGUCGCGUCUGCUGUGAAAUUCCAGGGCUUAACCCUGGGCUUGCAGUGGGUACGGGCAGACUAGAGUGUGGUAGGGGAGACUGGAAUUCCUGGUGUAGCGGUGAAAUGCGCGGAUAUCAGGAGGAACACCGAUGGCGAAGGCAGGUCUCUGGGCCACUACUGACGCUGAGAAGCGAAAGCAUGGGGAGCGAACAGG